CCGUCCUUCCAUAGCCGUGGGGAGACGCGCUCGCGGCGGUGUGAGGCGCCGGCGUCCACACGGGUAAGAGGAACUGUGCAGUCUGCAGUACAUUGCAUCUCUUUUAGUCCCACAUCGGUAGUUGAGUGCGAUUUUCAGGGAUUUAUAACUAUAGGCUUCAGCAGGAGUGUCAUCAAGUAGGAAUACAGGGAGACAGUGGUAUGGGUGUAGGAAUACAGAUUGUCUUUUUUUUUUUGCUCCAUAAAUUCAGCCUGGUUUUUGCCGAUUGAUUGAAAAGUGGUAUUUUUCCAAUGCAAAUGUGCAUAUGAGCAAUGUACUUCAAUUAACUAUAGAAUCGACCUAAAUCAACUAUGUGGCGUGGCUGUUAUUUUCAGGAGCACUAGUUCCCAUUUUUCAGUACGGUGCUGUUGCCGCUGGUGUAGUUCCAAUAUGUUAUUUCUGGCUGCUACAUGUCAUGGUGACAUAAUUUGAUAUGCUAUUUUCAGGAGCACUAGUUCAUUUCUAGUUCCUUAUACAAGAUUCAGAAAAACCACAAUCCUGAAGUGUUCUGCGGAUAUAACUCAUAAGACGUAAAGACCUUGAAUUCACCUUUUGUUUUUUCAUAUUUUGCAUUGCCCAGUAAUGAGGAUGUUAUAGUAGAGGAAAAGAUGAACUCUCUCAACUUAAAGCAUAUUUUCAUGUUUAAAGCAUAGUGAUAAGACAUUUCUGAUAAAAAAACUGGGUCUGCAAUUGUCAUGCUUGGUGUGUAACAUACUGAAACUUCAUGUUUUUUUGUCAAUAUGGAGCACCAUAGGUAGUUAGCGCUUGUGUUUUGCUCAUGCUCCUGGUAAAUCCUUUUGGGCCAGGAUUCAGGAAGCUCCUGUGUUCGGUUAUGCUCGCUGUUAAUUUUCAUUUUUGUAUCUGCAAUCUUUCGGAGCCGUUAGUUUCUGCUCUUUUCUGUUUUGUGUUCUUGAACAGUGUAUGGCUUCAUGGCUGUCCUGCUUAGUUUGGAAAACAUACAUAUAGAUGUGCUGUGCAGAGUUAAGGUUUCUUUUUGCGGUGUAUUGCUUUCAAAAAUUAUCUGGCCAUAUAUUUUCGUGCUGUAAAAAAUCUUUAUUUCCUGUUAUGAUUGUUCCAUAGCACCAAUUUCAGUCAAAUCGGCCUCCCAGUCCUGAAGUAGAUCACGAAACUUCAUGACAGUUGCCAGUACGAGCGUGAGCCUUGCUAGUUGUCCUAAUAGCAGACUAUUUUUGUCAAAGUCCGCAUUUUACUCAUGGCUAAUUUAUAAUUAUCAUUUAAAUUCCUUCAUACCAACACGAUUUAUAGAAGCUGGGUGUGAACUCUUAUGGUUAUAUCGCCUCGAUGCCUCGAUGCGGCGUUAAUUUUUUUUUUUGGAAAUGGGGGCGUACCCCCGGCCUCUGCAUCAUAAUGAUGCAUGCAACCAUCUUAUUAAAGAGUCUCGAAGUAACACAAAGUCAUAAAAGUAUUACAGCUCGCAAGCGAAGCGAAACAAAGAAAAGAGAAGUACAUGCUCAAAAUCACGGUAAGGCAAAGUAAGGAUAAGCUCCCUAGACUCCUAUCCUGUUAUGCGACCGCCAUCCGAACCAGUUGAAUAUAGCCCAUGCUACCAUCUCCUACUGGUUGCACCCAAUAACAAAAGGCUCCCUGAAGUCCAUAGGAGUGAGCAAGGACCACGUACGGAUCCAUGCGGUAGCUCUAAAGAUGACCUGCAAGAAAGUUAAAGUGUGUUGUCUGUUAAAAAUCAUAUCAUUCCUACAAUUCCAUAUAGCCCAUAAAAGCGAACAUAUUCCAAUCCGAAUACGAGCCGUAGUAAUAUGUUCAACCCCAGCUAACCACGUUCCAAACAACGAUUCAAUGUCAAUUGGAGGAUUAAUGUUAAAGGCUGUAUGGAUCAUUCUCCAGAGCAAUUUGGCGAGUGGGCAUUCAAGGAAUAGAUGUUGUAUUGUUUCAUCAUGAUCACAAAAACAACAACGUGAACUACAUACCCAUCGCCUGUUUAUCAAGUUAUCCUUGGUGAGGAUUACUUGCUUGUGGACGAACCACAUAAAUAUUUUAAUACACAAGGGAACCUUAACCUUCCAAAUAUGCAACGAUCUCGAGAUUGGGCCAGAAUUAAUCAGAUCCAUGUAGAAAGAUUUCACCGUAAAUACCCCAUUUCUAGCUAACUUCCAGUGCGUCGAAUUAGGUUGGUCGGAUAAUUGAACAUCUAUCAAUCUCUGGACCAAGUGCAUCCAGGCAGUCCAUCUCUCACCAACUAACGCACGUUUGAACUGAAUAUUCAAGGCAGUCGUUUGAAAUACUGUGCCUACGUAAUCCUCCUUACAUUGCACAAUGUAAUAGAGGGUCGGAUAUUGUACGGCUAGGGGCGUCUCUCCUAACCACGUAUCCUCCCAAAAUCUUGUUGACAUUCCAUUGCCAACCAAGAAUUUGACCCCACGAAAGAACAAGUCCUUCGUUCUCAUGAGUCCCUUCCAGAAUGGCGAGUCAGUUGGUCUCACGGUAACCUGGGCGAGCGUUUUCGACUGUAAAUACUUAUUGCGUAGAAUCUGUGCCCACAUACGUUCCGGCUCUGUCUCUAACUUGUAGAGCCAUUUACUCAUAAGACAUUUAUUCUUAAUUUCCAAGUUCUCAAUACCGAGACCCCCCUGGUCCUUUGGUCGGCAAAGAAUAUCCCAUCGCGCGAGACGAUAUUUACUCUUGGCCUCAUCUGACUGCCAGAAGAAUCGAGAUCUAAAGAAAUCAAGUCUCUUCCGCACCCCUUUCGGUAUCUCGAAGAAUGAUAGCAGGAACAUCGGCAUACUCGUAAGUACCGAGUUAAUCAGCACUAGCCGACCUCCAUACGACAUAAGCUUGCUCUUCCAGCAACUAAGAUUUUUUUCAAUUCGAUCUUCGAUGCACUUCCAUUCUUUAUUAGAUAACUUACGGUGAUGAAUCGGUAUACCCAAAUAACUGAAUGGCAAAGAACCUAAUUCACACCCGAACAGUUGUCUAUAUGUGUCUUGCUCUUCUUUGGCCUUUCCAAAGCAGAACAACUCGCUCUUGUGAAAGUUUAUCUUUAAUCUAGACAAUUGUUCGAAGAGACAUAAUAUGAGUUUCAUAUUUCGCGCUUUUUCAAUGUCAUGUUCCAUGAAUAGGAUAGUGUCGUCAUCAUACUGUAAAAUGGAGACUCCCCCAUCGACCAGAUGAGGGACUAAACCCUCCACUUGACCAUUUUGCUUGGCCCUGCCAAUAAGAAUGGUCAACAUAUCGGCCACUAUAUUAAAUAGGAGAGGAGACAUGGAAUCCCCUUGUCUCAAUCCCUUGUGUGUCUGAAAGUAGUGACCGAUGUCAUCAUUAACCUUGAUUCCGACACUACCCUUCUGGACUUGAGAACCCACUUGGUUCCGCCAGGCCUCACUAAAUCCUUUCAUGCGCAUUGCCUGCUGAAGGAAAGACCAUUUAACUUUAUCAUUUGCCUUCUCAAAAUUCACUUUGAAGAUAACCCCAUCUAGCUUCUUUGAAUGAAUUUCAUGCAGCGUUUCAUGCAGAACGACCACCCCUUCAAGUAUGUGUCGCCCUGGCAUGAACGCUGUCUGACUCGGUUGUACCACAGAGUGAGCAAACUGUGUCAAUCUAUUGGUAACCACUUUCGUGAAUAUUUUGAAACUCACGUUAAGAAGACAUAUUGGCCUGAAUUGUUCGAUCCGAACUGCCUCUUCUUUCUUUGGCAACAGCGUAAUCAUACCAAAGUUAGGAUGAAACAACUCUAAAUGACCAUUAAAAAAUCAUGAAACAUAGGCAUAAGAUCAUCCUUAAUAAUAUGCCAACAUUUCCUAUAGAAUUCAGCUGGAAACCCAUCCGGUCCCGGUGCUUUAUUCGGUUUCAUUUGUGAGAUUGCAUCCAGAACCUCUUUCUUAGUAAACGGUGCAGAUAGAAUAUCAUUCUCCUCUGCCCGAAGCUGAGGGAUAUCUCCAAUGACAGAUUUAUUAAGGGACACUGUGCUUGCUUCCGGAGGCCCAAAUAGUUGUUUAUAAUAAUUAGAGACAUAAGCUUUCAGAUUCUCAUGCCCCACAAUUAUCCCCUCGUCCUGUUCAAGCUGUAUUAUUUUCUUCUUCCUAUGUUUACCAUUCGCGAUCAUAUGGAAGAAUUGUGUAUUGUCAUCCCCUUGGACAACCUUAAGCACUUUAGCACACAAUGCCCACUUGAGCUUCUCUUCUCUAAGAAGGGCUCGUAAGCCUUGCUCAACUUCAGACUUGGAGCUCUGCUCAUCAACCGUAAGAAGAUUAACUUCAGCUUUUAAAUCUAGCGCUUCUAUUAAUUGGAUGAGUCGCUCUUUUUCUUGUCUGUAUAUCCCACUCUCGUUUCUGGCCCAACCUCGCAAAAAUUGUCUCAGAUGUCUAAUUUUAUUUUGCCAUCUCUCAAUACUUGUUCGUCCACUAACAGGCUUUGCCCAUUCGCGUGCAAUGAUCUCCAAGAAGUUUUCUUUCUCGAACCAACCUAGUUCGAAAGAGAAAGCAUUCUUGUUUGCAAUAUGUGUAGCCUCUCCCGAGUCUACUAGUAAUGGUGUGUGGUCUGAGAUCGCCCUCUGCAUCGCAUGUACCGAAACUAAUGGGUACUUUUGUUCCCAUUCCACACUAGCAAGCACACUAUCCAACUUCUCAUAAGUUGGAGUGGGCAACGAAUUGGCCCAUGUAAAUUGUCUACCAGUGAGCUCAAUUUCUCUCAAACUAAGACUCUCAAUAAUCAUGUUAAACAUCAUAGACCAACGUCCAUCAAAAUUGUCAUUGUUCUUUUCAUCUCUCCUCCGAAUUAUGUUAAAAUCCCCUCCGACUAGGAUUGGAAGAGUCUCGUCUCCACAGAUCCGCACCAAGUGGGCUAAAAAAUCUGGUUUGAGGUCGGGUUGUGCUGUCCCAUAUACAGCAACUAGAGACCAUUGGAAGCCAUCCAAUUUCGAUCUCACCCAAAACUUGACCGCAAAAUCCCCCCGAACCACGGUAAGUACCUCAAGCGUUUCGCACCGAACCCCUAGUAAUAUCCCACCAGAUCUUCCUCUAGGAGGUAAAACGUGCCAAUCAAAAUCAAUUCCUCUGGAUAAAGUUCCAAAGAACUGUGAGAUGAAAUUAUCCCGUCCUGUUUCGAGUAGAGCAAUAAAAUCUAUUUUUUGCUCUAUCGUUGUCUCUGCCAAGAACCUUCGUUUAGCCAAGUCAGCUAGACCUCUGCUAUUCCAACAGAUUCCUUUCAUAAGUCAUCAUGAAAUUUUUUCUUAAGUUUAACCCUAGCACUUCUACAAACCGCCGAAGUAGGAUAGAUUUUCUGUUUCCAGGGUCUCUUGGGCUUCUCCCCAUAGCCCUUCGGGAACAUAGGAUCGACAGAACACGAGACAGUGCCCUCCAUCAUUAGAGGCUCUACAGUGUCUGCAGUCUCCGACCCCUCCUCAUCUUCAGCCUCCGCAUUCGGCAAUAGAUUAUUACAUAUGUUUUCAAGAGCAGCCAUUCCUAAAUUUUUCAAGAGCAGCCAUUCCUAAAUUCGGCAAGAGAUGCGGCGUUAAUAGUCAAUACAAAUUCUCUUUAUUGAAAAAUACCAACUCGAUUUAUACAAACUCGAUGGUACUCCCUCUGUAAACUAAUAUAAGACCUUUUAGAUCACUAGGAGGAGUACAUUGCAAAUCACGUGAGACAAGUUAUACAAAGUUCAGUGUCAAUUGCCAAAUCACUAUAGCGUGGCUUAACUUGCUCUGGCUUGUUUGCUCCAACAUAUAUAUGAUGUUCUGGCUGCCUGCAAUUUCAUGGCUACUUUUCUCAUGUUCAUUCGCUCUCUUGGGAACAGACGGGUACAAGACAGAGCUACUUGCACAAGGGACACCAAGCACUGAUAUACCACAUUUCCUGCUUCCGCUGUUGCACGAAUGAAUCCCUUGCACUCUUCUUGCAGACGAUCAUCGAUGAUAUGCAGUAUCUGAUCUGGAGAGUUCCUCUCCACGAAAUUGACAAUGUUGAGUUCGUUGUCAAACAUAGGGUCUGUUGGUCUUUUACCCUAUCAGCAUCUCUAGAAGAACUACUCCAAAACUGUAAACGUCCCAAAAAGUUGAUGCUUGGCCAGUUUGAGCAUACUCUGGAAACAUACGAAAUGAUACUGAUUAGUGCCAUAUAAAUCUAAGUUCAGACAUUGAGUCUUACACAAAUAUAUGAUGUGGAGAUGAGUACCUGGAGCAAUAUAUCCUAUAGUUCCUUUCAAUCCAAUUGAGCCAUCUGAAGUUGAGGCUGAACUUGAAUGCCCAACUGAUGUUGACUUUGAAUUACGGACGAGGUUUGCAAUGCCGAAGUCACCCAAAUAUGCAUUCAUAUCAGUGUCCAGGAGGAUAUUGCUGGGUUUCAGAUCGCAAUGGACAAUGGAUCUUGUUAUAUCAUGGUGUAAGUAGGCCAAUGCAUCAGCGAUAUUAAUAGCGAUGCUUAUUCUUUGCCCUAAGCUCAAAAUCCUUGGACCUUCACCAGCAGAUUUUGUGUGUAACCAUGUGUCCAAAUUCCCGUUUGGCAUGAACUCAUAAAUUAGAGCUUUGAAAGCGUUACCAUCAUUAUCUAUUGUUGAACAUGCUGUUGGGAUAGAAACAAGAUUUCGAUGUCGAAUACUUCUCAAAACCUCACAUUCUGAUAUGAAACUUUUGUCUGCGUAUCUCACAUCGAGGUCAAAAACUUUAAUAGCCACUUGUAUUUUUGCUUGAGUUAACUUUCCUCUAUAUACUGAACCGUAGCUUCCUCUGCCAACCAGGUUAGACUCAGAAAAGCUCUGUGUAGCUUGAGCUAUAUCCCUGUAGGAUAGUCUAGGAAAAUGAUUGCCAGAAUAAAGCAACAAUAAGGAUGCUCUUCUUGGUGUCUUGGCCCCCAGGCGUGCAAAGUAAAUUAACAAUACGAGUGAUAUGAAGCUAACCACAGGGAUAAGUACUCUGACCAAGUAGUACAGUCUUCCUUUUUUCUGAGAAAUAGCAGAGCAAGUGGGCAUACGAAGAUCCACUGCUCCACCACAAAGCUCCCAAUUCCCAUCGAGAGAAACAGGCGUGACAUUUUCAAAUACCCCAUUUCUUGGUAUUUCUCCAUGAAUAUGGUUGUAAAACAGGUGUAGAUAGUUCAGAAAUUUUAAGGUAUUGGACCUUCAAAUUCAUUGUUUGCUAGAUAGAGCUUCUUCAGUCUUGCAAGAUUACUGAUAGAGGUUGGUAUUGGGCCAGUGAAGUUAUUCCCGUCAAGAGCUAAAACCGUUAGAUUCCUCAGAUUUCGAACCCAUCCUUCAAUGGAUCCGUGGAGCUUGUUUUCACGUAAAGCCAGUGUUGUUAAGCCGCUAAGAUUACCUAUGUUAGUGGGUAUUGUCCCUGACAAGUCGUUUGCAUCUAAUCCUAGUCCUUGAAGUUUGCUUGACAGGUUACCAAUAGAACUUGGGAUAGCUCCUUUUAACUGAUUUUUACCUAGUGCAAGAACUUGCAGAGAUCUGCAAUUGCUCAACGUAUCUAUGAAUUCCCAGCUUUGAAUAUCCUUUGCUUCAAGUUUAUUAUUCUGAAGGUUUAGAUUGUUCAACAUUCCAAGCCUACCAAGAGAACUUGGAACUUGACCUGUCAAUUUGUUAUAUGAUAGGUCCAACACUGAUAGCCCUGAAGUAUUACCCAGAGAAGCUGGGAUAUAACCUUCAAACAUGUUAUAGUCCAAGUAGAGCAAUGUGAGACUUGGGGGGGUAUCACCAAAAUCAGACGGCAAUGUGCUCCCUAUCAUAUUGGUACUUAAGUCUAAAAUUUGUAGAUAAGACUGGUUAAGCACGGUUGUUGGGAUUCUACCUGAUAGCAUAUUACCACCGAGUACCAAACCCAUCAUACUUGGAAAUUGUCCUAUCUCAUGGGGAAUGCUACCCAUGAGUUGAUUAUCUGCAAGAUCGAUUGCUUCUAACUGGCUGAUGUUUUUCAGGCUUGGUGGGAUCGUUCCGGUGAUAUUAUUUUCUGAAAGCUGUAACCACAACAGGUUGGAGAGCAAGCCUAUACUGAGUGGAAUUUCACCUGUCAGGAAGUUACCGUAUAGGUCUAAGUAACUUAGGUUGGAACAAUUUGUAAGUGUAGCUGGAAUGAUCCCUUGCAAAGAGUUUUUACUCAGCAAAAGUUGUUGCAGUCUGUGGAGACGUCCAAGAGGAGGCAGCUCGCCGGUGAAGCUAUUUGUGGACAGGUCCAGUGUCUCAAGGAACGUCAGGUUCCCAAGGGACGGGGAAAUCGAACCUGACAACCCUUGCUCGGUGAGGUUUAGCACAGUAACUCGCCCUGGGUGCGUGAGGCUGCAGUUGACGCCCUUCCACUCGCAAUGGGGGAUGCUGGCGUUCCAAGAGCCCAAGGCUUGCCUUGGAUCAUUGGUGAUGUCCCGCUUGAAAUCUAGCAGCGAGAGCAUGUCCGUGCUGUUACCGGAGACUGUCGAGCAGUGGGCAGUGCCAACUCCAUCAGAAAUGAGCAGCAAGGCCAGUAGCAGGAUCAUGGCGCGUCUCGCCGGUCGAUUGGGAGACACGAGGCCCUCGUUACCUGCAAAGCAUGAAGAAAUGAGCACCGUGGGUAGUAUGUUCACCUAUGAAGCUGGACAGCGUGACCUUGCUCUGGUUAACGAUCAUAUGUUUGUUGGUAAGCACUCCAGUUAAUAGUAGUGCACAGAGGCUAAAUUCUGUGAGUAGGGAACCUUGCUCGGCAGCAAGACAGAAGCUAACACGGAUGUUAAGCAGAAGCAGUAAAGUACAGUACUAAUCAGGAGGAGGGAGUAGGGAGAACCUUUGCUCGUCCGGAUCGCACAGAAGGGCGGCCUUUCUUGGUGCAUGGUUUCGCCGGGUUUUGCUGUGGUAUGUGAGCUGGGAAGUGUGAGAUUGGAUGCUGGAUGCGCAGCUGGCUGAGGCCCCAUGGGUUAGAGAGCACUUCCACGGUGUCAUCACGUACACACACUUGCACCUGGUCUGAAACCCUCACGCCUUAUCUCAAGCUUGACCGCAGAUGGAGCGAAGACCUUGAGUCCGUCAACUCUGUCAGCUAGUUGCCGUUCCAGUUUUUAUCUUCAUAGCCCACCGCUGCCGUCGCUGCGUGAGCUGGACAGGAUCGUUGCGGCAUGCCCAGCCCCGAAUCCCAGAGUUCUACUCGAUACUUUUCAGCAGGAACUGGAUAGAGAGUGAUCUUCGCGUCGGUCAGUGUACGACCUGACAUGGAACGGUUCACUGGUCUAACAUUCUCUUCUUUGAUACCGUGUUUUUUUCUCCUAUGGCCCUGCGGGCAUGCAUGCCUCAUUUUUUUGUGUUUAUUCGAUAAGAGUAUACGUUGUGCUUUCUUUCAGCUACAACGAAUGGCCUGACUGUACAUCGUAGGAGUAGUCAAAUCACAAGUUCAACAAUGAUGCCUGGACAAUUGAGUCGUCUUUAUUUCUCAUGGUUGAGUUUGGUUUGGUGAAAAUGCUUUUACUGAAAUGAUGCACUAGAGUCAUGCAUGUCUACUGCUCUGACCAAAUGUUCUUUUUCUUUUCUUAAUUAAACAGCUCUGCAACAAGCACGCAAAGCUCCCAUGUUUCCACACAAGCAUGAAGCCUCUUAACACAUGAUGUCAUGAUGUAUACUUCCAAUUCUGAUUCCAGGUAUCUUUGCCCCACUUGCCCUAUACGCUUUUAUGUCUUGGGAUUAAGGCCCGUUACUUCAAUGGUGCAUUUGAGAUAUACUAUGUGUAAGUACUCUGCAGAUGGCAAAGGCGCGGGCGAGGCGAGGGAAGCGGGAAGCAGCCAAGGCGAAGGCGUAAGGUGUAGCGGGAAGUUCAAAUAUGUAACGGGCCUGAUGGUCUCAGCGGUAGUGGGCCAGAGAGCCGUAGCAAGUAGGCCUAUGUGUCCUGCGGGUUAUAAGCAGGUGGGCGAGGGAGAGAACGGUACGAAGAGAUUUCUGUAAUUCAAACUGUACCACUUCUAUCUUAUCCUCCUGCUUACGUCUCCUACCUCG
This 9954-nucleotide long non-coding RNA is filed under the name Triticum aestivum (bread wheat). RNAcentral describes it as "long non-coding RNA (TAES_LNC019792)". Lineage: Eukaryota; Viridiplantae; Streptophyta; Magnoliopsida; Poales; Poaceae. The record is from RNAcentral.